RNAcentral lists this long non-coding RNA (220 nucleotides) under Trifolium pratense (red clover). RNAcentral's name for it is "long non-coding RNA (TPRA_LNC004268)". The record is from RNAcentral. Lineage: Eukaryota; Viridiplantae; Streptophyta; Magnoliopsida; Fabales; Fabaceae.
AAAACAAUUGCAUGGACUAUAUAAUCUUAACACUUGCUCAGCUAUAAAUUAUACACACAAACACCAUCAGAGAAACUCCAAUUUUAUAUCUCAAUUCACAUCAUUGAUGCUUUAACCAAUCCUGCUACCUCCUAAACCAAGCUUUGGCAACACCAGCUUACAAAAUUCUACCAUGACAAUUGCAUCCACAUCACCUCUUGAUUAAGAUAUCUUCUCUGCU